GGUCAGAAAGGGGUGGCGCGGCGCUAGGCUAGCUAGGGUUUCAGAAAAGUUGAAACCUUAGUUUGACUAAUGGGUCUAUUGUUUCGGGUCUGGGCCUAGGGUUUGUAAUUUGGGUUGGUUUUGUUUGGGCCGUUCGAGUUUGGGCCUGUUAUUCUUAUUUUGUUUAUUUUUUGGGUUUUAUUUUUGUAUUUUAUAUUUUUAGCAUUGGGCCUGGGCUGAAUUGGCCCACAAUAGCUGCCCCUCUUUGUUCAUUGUCGUAUAACGAGAAUAGAGCAAAGACUUUAAAAGGGUCAAUUCUGACUGGUCUCGUCGGGUCUUGACUUCUUUGGGUGCUUCUCUUCUUUG
This 345-nucleotide long non-coding RNA is filed under the name Gossypium raimondii (Peruvian cotton). Its description in RNAcentral is "long non-coding RNA (GRAI_LNC007360)". The record is from RNAcentral. Lineage: Eukaryota; Viridiplantae; Streptophyta; Magnoliopsida; Malvales; Malvaceae.